Molecule: unclassified non-coding RNA, 261 nt
Filed under: fungal sp.
Lineage: Eukaryota; Fungi
Description: partial internal transcribed spacer region
Rfam family: Eukaryotic small subunit ribosomal RNA (bases 1-46)
Source: RNAcentral
AAGUCGUAACAAGGUUUCCGUAGGUGAACCUGCGGAAGGAUCAUUAACAGUGCUUUUGUAUGCAAAUACAAUCCCACUACAAACCCUGUGUGAACCGUUUUGACUACCCAUGUGUGAACCGUUUUGACUACCCAUGUGUGCGGGUACCCAGGAAUGGGUAUGGCUGCACACAUUUUUUACCCACCCUGUCCUUAUGAUACUGAAUAGUAAAGCUUAGUUGAAAAACUUGCAAAACUUUUAGCAAUGGAUCUCUAGGCUCUU